This 400-nucleotide long non-coding RNA is filed under the name Rosa chinensis. RNAcentral describes it as "sRNA RchiOBHm_Chr1g0373851". The record is from RNAcentral. Lineage: Eukaryota; Viridiplantae; Streptophyta; Magnoliopsida; Rosales; Rosaceae.
GGGCCUCAGAUAAAGUAACUGCUGAUCCAUUCUCCUCUUCUACGAUGCCUAUCGCAUGAACCUGGUUAGCAGAAGGAGAGGGCACGACUGGUGUGGCAGUGUGCUUCUUGGGGAAAUUUUCCGAUCCUUGUUUUGCUUUGGGAUGACCUGGAGGAAAACCAAUUAGGUGAAAACAUGUUUGGACCCAAUGUCCUGGAUCACCACAAUAGGUACAGUGCGGCCUUCCCCUUCCUCGACCUGAACCAAAACGCGCGGUGAAGCCGCGUUCGGCAUCUCAACUGGUCUGAAGAUUCGGUCGGUCACCACGACCUCCUCUGCUGCCGAACUGAUUCGGCCGGCCACCACUCCGGACAGCCAUGGCGGCGGUGCUUGAACUGGACUCCGCCGCUGCAACGAAACG